This is a long non-coding RNA of Cryptomeria japonica (Japanese cedar), 4619 nucleotides long. RefSeq lists it as uncharacterized. The transcript is spliced from 7 exons. Lineage: Eukaryota; Viridiplantae; Streptophyta; Pinopsida; Cupressales; Cupressaceae. The record is from RefSeq and is a predicted model, not a curated record.
UUUUUUUCCCUCUCAACUCAUCGGCGGGAUUUUGCUCCUACGAUGGCAUCGCAUUUGGCAUGUAGUUUUCAAUGGCGGGAAGGAUUAUGCAGAUAUCUCAUUCGAGGGAUCUUUCUCUCACUUAAUUCAAGGGCUCCUUCAGAGAGCGGGAAGAGUCGACCGAGAAUCAAUAGGAGAGACUGGUUUGUGAAGGAAGGGGCGGUCAUCCUACAGGAUACUUCAAAGAACUUAUUUGAAGGGACCGAUUCCUCCCACUGGAGUGCUUCAAUUCUUAGAUUGACACUUUCCCCUCUUCCAUUCUUCUCUAUCUCUUUCUUUCUACAUGGAUCAGUGUCCUUUGGUAUGGGUCUUCUCUUCCUACGCAUGGACUAAGUGCCAGAUACAACACAACAAAACUAUCCUUCCCUUAAACUUCCUACUGUAGCAUGUCCUUCAACAUCGACAAACUCAAUCUUGGUAUUCUACUUUAACCAGGGAACCACCAUUUAAUUUUCCAUUUCCUCCUUACUAUUUCAGGCGGAUGACACAAGUUCUGCUCAUCUCAUACAACAACUUCCUGAGAUUGAUGCUCCACACCCUCUCUCAGACCAAGAUCAACUUAUAACAUUAAAGGCCCCCUCUCAACCUCUCUUUUAUGAACGACCACCACCACACUACUCUUCUCGGUUAUCAAAUCUUUGCCUCUUCUCGAUUCUAUUAUAUUUGACUUUUCUAUUUUGUGACGUGCUUACGCCAAGGGAAUACCUUUGACUGCUAUUGGAACCCUAUCAAGAGAUCCAUAAGCUAAAAUAGCCUUUACCGUCGUAGAAUAUCAUUGUUGACAGUGUACUGCUAUUGAUGACUUGGUCUGAUUAUAUGAUUGUGCCCCCUUCAUUCACAUCACUAUAGCUUCUUGAAUGGACUAUUCUGAUUUGAUAUGGAAGUUUUGGACUAUGAAUGGUGCAUUUGAUGUUGGCAUAUGUGCAGAGUUUGAUGACAUGAUGGUGUAUGUUGUCAUUGAUGUCAAUAUGCUGAAGUAUGAACCGGUAUAUUGAAGUAAGCAAACUGACAAGUGAACUGGUAUGAUGGUAUGAAGUGAACCGGUAUGAUGGUAUGAACCAGUAUGUGCGAAAAGGUGAACCGGUAUGUUGGAAUGUGAACUUGUAUAUGCAAAGUUUGUAUUGGGGUUUCAUUUGAUAUGACUAUCGGUUGGUAGUCUCGGCUUCAGGGUUUCUAGUUGAUGCAUUCUAAGUCUGUGUGAUUUGACCAAUGACAUCCUGUGAUGAGUUAGCAUUGAAAUGAAGACGAGAUCGUGUUGCCACGUCAGCUUUGUACGCGUGAAUAAUCUCCUUGAGGAUCUUGCAUGAAGAAGAUUGAUUCUAUCCACCUCGGGAAUGAGCAAAAUCUUAGUAAACAGUGGAGAGCGCGUGAUGGGUUAUCAAUGUCCAGAAGCGGUGAAGAACGAACGAUGGAGAACAUCUUGAGAUUUGUUCAAGACUGUUUUACUCUAUGCAAUGUGUUUGAACGGUCAAGAUUGGACCGACUGUAUUGUUAACCUAGAUGCUUAGGGUUUUAGGUUUUGGCUACCGACCUAAUUGUUGUCUAUAAGGUCGAUGAUGGUUUUCAUUUGAAGUUGUUGGCAAAUGUUAUGUGUGUAUCCAAGUGAAGAGAUACUUGAUUCUUGCCAGACUAGAGAAGUGAGUAGAUACCUGCAGAGUGUAAUUGCAGAUGUAAAGGAACUGAAGUGGAUUUGCCUUGACAUUAAGUGCUGUUAUCAGAUCAGUGUAUUACCUGUUGACUUCUAACCAUUUCAACAGUUGGAAAAUCCUUUUAUCAGGUAGCUUUAACAGGCCUUUUGUAAAUCCUUUAACAGGGUGACUCAAAAUCAUUGAGUUCUUCAAAUCCUCUUGCGAGGUAACCUUUAACAGGGUUUUAACCUUUAACCGGGUAUUUAGCCAUCCCUUAACCGGGUGAUUCCUAGCAGGAUCGGUUCGUAGCAGAACCUGUUGUAAAGUCUUUAACCGGACUAGGCUUCUAACAGAGCGGAUUUCAAAAGAGUUCAAGAACAACUUGUGGGUAUUCAUCCCCACCAUGAUUUUUCCCAGUUGGGUUUCCACGUGAAAAAUAAGUGUGUAAUGUGUGAUGCUUUUUCAUGUGAUGUUUUAGUGUUUUCUGUUAAGCGGUAAUGCAUGCUGAUUCAGUGGUCAUUAUAUUUCUAAUGUAUUACUUGUUUAAGCAUAUGGGUGAAGUGGAAAUGAGAUAUUAGGUUCUAAGCAUAUGGGUGAAGUGGAAAUAAGAUAUUAGGUUUUGUGAAGAUCUAAGUGUUACCGGUUUAUGACUUUUAUAGUCACUAUGUUUUACCUGUAUUGCCUUGAUUUAGAUCGGUGAUUCUGUUUACCGGUUAGUGUAGUCUUUGCUGUUUAAGUUGUUAAAAAAGUUUUUGUCUAUAUUGAUUCAACCCCCCGCCUUCCCCCCCCCCCCCCAACCCUCAAUAUCUGUUGAGUAUUUACUGUUCAUCAUUAUUCAUCAUUUGAUGGUUGUAUCUAUUGUCUUUGAUAUGUUGCUCUAAUACAUUUUGUGACUUUCUUUGAUCUGCAUUAGGGUUGUGACUAUUUAUACUCAGAUAUUUUGCUAUGAAUGUGCAUUUGACAUGACUACUAUGAGAAAUGAUUUGUUUUUGCUUAGUGAGGGGUAACUUCAUCAUGUUGGAUCUUCCCUUUUGGUGUUAAUAACUAAGACACUACACUCUUUCUAUACCCUGCUCUCACUGGCUGUGAUUGUGGCAUGCCUUCUAUUGCUUAUGGAUUGUCAUAAUAUUUUUAUUAUUCUCAGUUGUCAUGACUGUAUUGUUAACUGAAAUCUUCAUACUUGCAACAAGACUUCAAGGUUGUCCUCUUUCACAAAUAACACUAGUGAACCUAUGAUGUUAACUUGGCCUAGUUCCUAAUACCCUGCCUUAUUGUGGAAUGUCCACAUAUAGUUGGAACCUUAUAAAGUCUUUUUCCUAAAAUCUUUUUGCAGUCAAAGACAAUAGUGAAAAGUGGUUGAGAGAAUUGUUAUGAAGCCAUUAUGAGCAGAGUUGAAGCCCUAAUAUAUGAUAUGAUCUCAAUGAUCAACUUAUGUUAAGUGUGUUGGAAUUAGUUUCUUAGCUCUCAAACAAUUUCUUGCCCUUACCUCUACAUUAACAAGCCUUUGAGUGACUUUAAUAUUUUGACAGUGCUAAGUGCUAAGGAUGCGAUUGUCUUUUUUUGCAUUCUAAUAUUGAUUACCUCUAUUGUUGUAGGUGUAAGAGGUCUUAUUGUAGCAGUCUGUACAUGGCUUUGAAGGUCGUUUGUUGGGUUUUAGAAUCCUUAAACAUGCCGCUAAAUAUAUCACUGUGUGUUGUGCUCUUCUUUAGAUAACUCUCAACUCAUUCUUCUCCGACUUUUGAGAUAAUGACAUCUUCUUGAGCUGUGACUGUCCUUAAGAUAUUAAGCCUCUUGGAGUGCCCUAUUUAUGUGUAUCUUUAAGACUGAUUGAAGAUUGUAAUACCAGUCAUCUUUGUUUAUCUUAGUUUCAUUGGUCCUAGUCAUUCUCUUAUGAAUCUUCUGUUCAUUAUCCUUAUAAUGAAUGAGUUCCUUUGUAACAUUGGCUAUUCGUGACCAUUAAUGAUUGCUCUCAGAAGCAUAAUGAUUUCUUUUGACCAUGAGACUCUAGCCAAAUGGAACACUUUUCCUGAUAAAUUGAAUUUUCUGCUCAAACCAACAAAGAUACCACUGUAGCCAUAUAUGACACUUGAAUGCAUUGGACUUUGAUCUUUUACCCUUUGUGGAUUAUCUUGAUAGCGAGGUUUCUCAUUGAGCUUGUAUCAUAACUUGCCACUGUCUUUUGAUUAGACAGUGCCUUGACUAUCUUGAUAGUUUCGAGCACUUUUGGUAUUGAUCUCUAUGACACAUCUCAUGUUUUGACUGCAACAUCCUUUCAUCUGGUGAAAACUGUGAAGUGUUUGGGUAAAUGUUGAUAUGUCACCGUUUAUUGGAGGUUAUUCAAGCUUCCUUUCACUAUUGUUUUGCACUACUAAAGAGACCUUCAUUUGGUAUACUGACUUAUAUUGUCCUAUGACUGUUAUAACAGAUUCUCCUAUCUAAUACAAUGAUAAGAUCACUAUUAUUGGGUAUUAUGCUAUAUUUCUUGGACAAAUGACUGUCAUUGUGAGAUUGGGGACUAUACACUCUUCAUAUGACCUUGUGAUGGUCCUUAAUAAUAAUUGUCUCAUGAAAUUUGACCAUGGAUCAUUAUAUGUCACUCCCAAUAUAAUGGCACUUUAGCAAUUACUAUUUUUUGAAGCAAUCCAUCAUACUCUUAACAUGUAGGCCUGUAACUUAGCAUGUUGGGCUCAACCCUUAUGGGAGCCACAUUUUACCCCACAUGCCAUAAUUCGAUGAAUAAUAAGUUACUUUCCUUGUAUCUGCCAAUGAAGCAAACAAGUUAGAUAAAACAUCAUAUGAUGAUUUCUUCUUGAUGAUUUGAUCUGCCAUUUGUUUCUUGAGUUUAUAUGUUGAGCUAGCUGUUGUGAUGCACAUGAGGGUUAGCUUGUAUGUUUGUAGUUGCGUGUGCAUAUAUGGGAUGAUGACCCUUCAUUGAUCUAACACACUAUUUUA